UACGUAGGCAGCAAGCGUUGUUCGGAGUUACUGGGCGUAAAGAGUGCGUAGGCGGUUUCGUAAGUUUGGUGUGGAAUCUCCCGGCUUAACUGGGAGGGUGCGCCGAAAACUGCGGGGCUGGAGUAUGGGAGAGGUAAGCGGAAUUCCUGGUGUAGCGGUGAAAUGCGUAGAUAUCAGGAGGAACACCGGCGGUGUAGACGGCUUACUGGACCAUGACUGACGCUGAGGCACGAAAGCGUGGGGAGCAAACAGG
This 253-nucleotide ribosomal RNA is filed under the name uncultured bacterium. Its description in RNAcentral is "partial 16S ribosomal RNA". It matches the Rfam family "Bacterial small subunit ribosomal RNA", at positions 524 to 776 of the family's 1533-position model. The record is from RNAcentral.